ACAUACACACAUAUAUAUAUAUACACACAUGUAUAUACAAAAUUAGCACUUCUCAUAGUAGUUGUAAUGAGUCCCUGUAUGCUUGAGAGUACGUGUGUGAGAUGUAAGAACGUUUAAAGUACGAGAUACUUUUUAUCGUUCUAUCCAUAAAUUCUAGAAAUACAUUAAUAGACACAAACACACAUACACAUUAUAUACAUACACACACACAUAUAUAUAUAUAUAUAUAUUCCGGUAGAUUUUGUUUAUUUAAAAUGAAUUGUUAUUCUGUUAAAUAAGCAAUAAAAUCACGCAAGUAUUGAGUUCGCUAACAAACUUCUUUUAAAUGUAAAUACCCUAUCUCGCUGUCCGUUGAUCUAUCAGUUUCUCUGUCCCCCUCUCUCUCUCUCUCUCGCUCUCUCUCUCUACACGCACACAUAUAUAUGUAUGUACGUAUAUAUGUAUAUCGUAUAUGCGUGUGUGCAUCUGUGCGUAUGGGUCUAACCCAUGCUAGAAUGGCGAAAGAGACGUUGAAACUAUUUUGAGUGUGACCGAUACUACAUGGGAAAUGAUUCAUUCAUUUCUCAUUUGCAUUGAAGUCAAUAUCUAGACGUUUAUUACGUGUAUAAACAAAGGUGUGUAGAAUUAUUUUUAUAUAAUGAGUGCGUGAAAGUUGAUAUUAUUCUCUGUAUGUGUGCAUGCGUAUCUGCGUGUAUAUGGAAAAGUGCUUAUAUAUAUAUAUAUAUGAAUAUAAUAUACAAUAUAUAUAUAUACAUAUAUAUAUGUAUACAUAUAUAUAUAUAUACAUAUAUAUAUAUAUAUAUAUACAUAUAUAUAUAUGUGCGUGUAAAGAUCUAUAAUUAUACGUAAGUAUGCUUGAAAAAUAUGUGUGUACGUAUAUCUUACAAUAAUUUAGAAGUUACGGCGAUAAUGAUUCGCAAAUCUACAUUCGUAUAACACUACAUUUCUGAAAUAUCGCACACAAAAAUCGAGAAAAAAGUAGAAAAAAAUUGAAAAAUGGACAGACACAUAAAAAUCGGUGUUGAAAAAAAAAAUCAUUUAAACAAAUGAAAAAGAGAAAAACUAAGUGGAAUUUAGUUUCAUAAGAAAAAAAAAAAUGUAUAUAUAUAAAGUGGCAAAAAAUUUUCAAAGCAAAAAAGAAAAAAAAUUGUAUAUAUAUAUAUAUAUAUAUGUUUAUGAAAUUAAGAAAACGUAUCUAUUUUCUUCAGUGGUCAGUCAGGAAAAUAUUAAGAAAUGUAAAAAAAUAGAUUGAAAAAAAAAGAAAAAAGAAAAGAAAAGAAAAAAAAGCCUGAAAAACAUGUAAAUGGUCAAUAAGAAAAUCUAAGAAAAACUGUGUUCGUGGUAGCAAUGUUGGUGUGCUCGUGUGAUCGCAAAAAAAAAAAAAAAUGAAAAUGAGAAAAAAAUCAACAACAAAUAACCUCCUUUUUUUUUUCCAUGUAAAGUCUACUUUUAGAAAGUAAGAGAAAAGCCCGUCUCGUUAAAGUACUAGCUUCCAUAACAGUCGCCAAUAUAUAUAUAUAUAUAUAUAUAUAUAUAUAUAUAUAGAUAGAUAAGACGCACGUGCAUGUUAUGCAUAGGUGUAUGUAGGUAUAUACAUAUAUUUUCCUCGUUUUGUCUGACUUUUUUCGCUUUUUGUAUUCACAUAUUGCCCCCUUACAAACUCUUCUGUCCGCUGUUAAACCAUGUUCUGUUACGUAAGCGAGAAAAUCCUCGCCUCAACGCAUCACCAAAACCACCACCGCCACCACCAUCAACACCAUUACCAUCAUCAACAUCAACACCAGCAUCAACAACAACAACAACAUCAACAACAACAACAACAUCAACAUCAACUACAACAACAGCAUCAGUUCAACCAUCACUUUCCACAAAAACAACAGCCCAGACAACACCAGCAACACAAACAACAACACCAACAUUACAACCACAACGACGGCGACCACCACCACCGACACCACCAGCAAGCUGUAAAAGUUAACCCGAAAGCAAAACGAGAAGAGAAAAGCAUUUUUCUACAAUAUGCCGAAUGCAAACAAUCGCAAUCAUGUUUCGCCUUCAUGGAACUUUUUAUCGUUCUCCUGUCCGAAAUACCAAACAGUUAUAGUACCCCCUCAUCACUUGCCCGUAAUAUUUGCUCAGCUAAUUGGCAAACGGGAUCAAAGCCAAUCAAAUUUCUUGUUGCAAAUUGAUUAUGAUAAUAUACGAACGUUAUUCAUAAUCAUAAUUCUGACAUGCGCACAAGGGUGCCGCAUAUAUAAAUCAGAAAUAGCAAAACGCCAACUUUUGUCAUUUGGGAGUCUACAAAUAUUCAGUAUGUCACGUCGAAAGCAGUCGCAUCCGAAACAUAUAGAAAACGAACAUCAUGUUUUCCUUGAUAAUAACGACAAAAGACUCCAAGAAAUAUCGAACAAUUUCAUUACAAGAGUUGUUUGUUGAUCCGUUAGUGUUUAAACUGGGUUGCUACCAAGACGUAUACUUCUUGUGACUACAGCUGUAUAAGGGUGUUACAGAAAGAAAAGUAGUUUAUAGUGAUUCACAUCAUUGCAGUGAUCGAAAGCACUCGCACCAAUACAUAUAUAAAUACAUAUGAAUUUACACACACGUAUAAAAUGGAAAAGCACAGUACAACAAAUAAAUCUGGAAAAUAUUUUCGCUGUCUGUGAGGUGGAAGUUUGCAAAAGGCAACACCUCAUAUUUAUCUAUAGGACGUUUUCUCUACAGCAAAUAAUUAUUUUUCUACUCUCUUUAUAUGCCUGUGAUUUUAAGAAGAAAUGCUAUUCCUUUUCUAUGUACACACACAGACACACACACACACACACACGCACAUAUAUGUGUAUAUAUAUAUAUAUAUAUAUAUAA
Long non-coding RNA from Octopus bimaculoides (California two-spot octopus), 2859 nucleotides. The record is from RefSeq and is a predicted model, not a curated record. Lineage: Eukaryota; Metazoa; Mollusca; Cephalopoda; Octopoda; Octopodidae.